Molecule: long non-coding RNA, 1133 nt
Organism: Sycon ciliatum
Lineage: Eukaryota; Metazoa; Porifera; Calcarea; Leucosolenida; Sycettidae
Exons: 3
Source: RefSeq, a predicted model, not a curated record
GAGUCGUAUAGACCCGGGAGGCGACACGAGGCCUUCCGGGCCGACUAUGAUUGACUCGCGGCACUUUCUCCCACUUUUCCCUCAGAUAUCCCCGGUGCGUGCCCUGAGUUAUAAACCAACUACUCCGCGUACAUAUGCCAUGGGACUUUGGGAGUGCACUCCUUGGGGAACGGACUCGUACAGGAUCGAUAGGAUCGUGGGAAAUCGUAGCUCGAAAAGAAGAAGAAGAAUGAACUACUUUUCCAAGUAAUUGGUUGCAUUUGAUGAUCGUGAUGGAGGCAGAGAGUGCUGCUGAUCGCGAUCCAGAUCCGGGUCAAGAAUCACCUCCUGAUCCUAAGGAAACCUCAGCUGACGUAGAUCUACCUUCUCUUCGCGUGAACGCUCAGUCUGUGUUGGCUUGGGCCACAGAGCGUUCCGAAUCCCAGCCGCUAAAGACCCACAGAAGGCAAGAAGCUUGCGUUGCAAAGCUGCUGUCCCGCCUGACUGCGGAGAAAGAAGACUCGUUUAUGGUUGUUCUACAGCCGCUGCUGACGUCCAUCAGCUCUGUCCUGCUCCCAGCAGCAGAUUGGCCUGGAUUUCAAUGAGUCGUGUCCCAACUCCGGUGUGAACGAUUUCCCGACGUCAAGACGAAGUGGGGUCAAGUCAAGGAAGCUGUCACAAGAUGAUCCGGUAUUGAACGGCUACAGCACAACCGAGAGAACGAAAUGUACGUCGCAAUCAAGCUAUGUCGUUGCCAUCUUCUAUGUGCCAGCCUGCUAUGUCGGAUACCGCUAGCCAUGCAUCGACUAGGCGCCAGGCGCGAACUGAUGGUGGUGGUGGUGGGAAGGAGAGCUCUGUGCCAGAAUAACUUUGGAGUUUGGAGAGCGUGUCUGGGCAGGCGUGUAUUUACCCCCAUAUUGCCAGGUGUUUAUUUACCACCAUAUGAACCAACCAUAAGUGCAGUUGCAGUGGAGUCUUCAACUUCAUUCUCCCGAGUCAAGCUCCUUGUGAAGGCAUCUAAGAAGAAGAUUGCCUGAUGAGUCCAGCCGGGACGAAAGGUACGUCGCAAUCAAGCUAUGUUGUUGCUGUGUCAUCUUCUAUGCGCCAUACGCUACCUGAUGUACCAGCCUGCUAUGUCGGACACCACUCACCCU